CAGACCGGGACUGGGGCGUCGCCACCCACAAGUCGUGACCUUUUGGGUCACGCAGUCCGCGUUCGAUCGACCCAUCGUCGGCCGAUCGGGCACCUUUGAACUGUCGAGGCUACCACCUAGUUCCCUCUCGCGGUCGAAGCCGCGAGAGGUGUGGGCCCAUAGCUCAGUGGGAGAGUGCCUCCUUUGCAAGGAGGAUGCCCUGGGUUCGAAUCCCAGUGGGUCCAUGACUCGGAGUGAAUCGCCAAUCGUGUCCCUUAAGUGGGAGACGACACUCGAUUCAAUCCGACCGCAACCGAUGCACCACCCCGUGCAAACGCGGGUGGGAAGGGUUAAUGCACGCUGCAGUCGACAGCGAUGCAGAUGAGACCGUGUGUACGUGUAGUCCAGGCGUCCACUGGAUCCGUUCCCGGGUCACUCUACGUGGCAUCUUCGGAUGUCACGCCGAUCCGAUGAA
This 454-nucleotide transfer RNA is filed under the name Natronobacterium gregoryi. The stretch from base 153 to 224 matches the Rfam family "tRNA". The record is from RNAcentral. Lineage: Archaea; Methanobacteriati; Methanobacteriota; Halobacteria; Halobacteriales; Natrialbaceae.